GAUGAACGCUGGCGGCGUGCCUAAUACAUGCAAGUCGAGCGAACGGACGAGAAGCUUGCUUCUCUGAUGUUAGCGGCGGACGGGUGAGUAACACGUGGAUAACCUACCUAUAAGACUGGGAUAACUUCGGGAAACCGGAGCUAAUACCGGAUAAUAUUUUGAACCGCAUGGUUCAAAAGUGAAAGACGGUCUUGCUGUCACUUAUAGAUGGAUCCGCGCUGCAUUAGCUAGUUGGUAAGGUAACGGCUUACCAAGGCAACGAUGCAUAGCCGACCUGAGAGGGUGAUCGGCCACACUGGAACUGAGAAACGGUCCAAACUCCUAGGGGAGGCAGCAGUAGGGAAUCUUCCGCAAGGGGCGAAAGCCUGACGGAGCAACGCGGCGUGAGUGAUGAAGGUCUUCGGAUCGUAAAACUCUGUUAUUAGGAAAAAACAGAUGUGUAAGUAACUGUGCACAUCUUGACGGUACCUAAUCAGAAAGCCACGGCUAACUACGU
This 496-nucleotide ribosomal RNA is filed under the name uncultured bacterium. RNAcentral describes it as "partial 16S ribosomal RNA". It matches the Rfam family "Bacterial small subunit ribosomal RNA", at positions 28 to 506 of the family's 1533-position model. The record is from RNAcentral.